This 450-nucleotide ribosomal RNA is filed under the name uncultured bacterium. Its description in RNAcentral is "partial 16S ribosomal RNA". It matches the Rfam family "Bacterial small subunit ribosomal RNA", at positions 354 to 796 of the family's 1533-position model. The record is from RNAcentral.
GUGAGGAAUUUUGCGCAAUGGCCGCAAGGCUGACGCAGCAACGCCGCGUGGGUGAUGAAGGCCUUCGGGUCGUAAAGCCCUGUCAGGUGGGAAGAAAGGCUUGGAGAAGCAACGCUUUGAGUUUGACGGUACCACCAGAGGAAGCACCGGCUAACUCCGUGCCAGCAGCCGCGGUAAUACGGAGGGUGCGAGCGUUAUUCGGAAUUACUGGGCGUAAAGCGCGUGUAGGCGGGGAUGCAAGUCUGAUGUGAAAGCACUGGGCUUAACCUGGGAAGUGCAUUGGAAACUGCAUUUCUUGAGUACUGGAGAGGAAGGGGGAAUUCCCGGUGUAGAGGUGAAAUUCGUAGAGAUCGGGAGGAAUACCAGUGGCGUAGGCGCCCUUCUGGACGGUAACUGACGCUGAGACGCGAAAGCGUGGGGAGCAAACAGGAUUAGAAACCCGGGUAGUCC